CCGCAACCCACUGGUGGAGGAAAAAAAGAAGAGAAAUCACCUCAGAGUUACGUCAGGAAAGGCCGCGUUUUGCGGAGAGGCCGUAGUCCCCGACCGGGCCCGACGUCCUCCUAGGGCGCGGAGCGUGACGGUUACUCACCGCUCUUCAGCCCUGGGGCAGGCGCCAAGCCCCUUUCCGCUCACACUCGGCUCGCGCAACCCGCAGCCUCCACUGCCGCUGUGAUUCCAUCCAUCUUGAAUUUGACGUCAUCCCACACCAGGGAUGAGGUCAUCGCAAGCAGCGCUCGUCACGGGAGAAUUGAACUUCAUCCUGUGAUGACUUAAUAGCUUGACCCCCAUCUGUGAAAGCAAACCUUGCUUGUUACCCUUCUCAACUCACCUCUGGGCUUCAGGUAUGUUGAUUCCUCACUGGAGCUACCCUGUAUCUUCUACCUUGUCCUGUCAUCUGUAAUUGCUCUGGGAUUCUGUUGCUUCUAUGCUCUUCCUGUCACUUCAACUUUAUUCUAGGGUUGAUGCUACACCUCUGUGCUCAUUAGUGCCUUUUGUGGGGUUUGUCUAUUGCCACCUGUAUGUGCCUUUGAAUUUGUCCCCCAUAGGCUUCAUGCCUGGCUGUGUGUGGAAGACCAACUCUGACAGUGUGGUCAUCGAUCUAAGGAGGGGAUGUGGGGUUGGUGAUAAUGUAAAGCAGGCGCACACUCACACCUACUUGGUGGAUGAAGCAAGCUUCAAUGAGCAAACUCUAACAAUGUCACACAUAUACAUACAUACACACAACAUACAUACAUACAUACCAAACAUAUAUUCCUACAUUCAUACACAUUCACGCACAUUUGGUAGAUGGAGCAAAGCUUUAACAAGCAGGCUCCAACAACUUUAUUUUUUCUUUUAGCCUUUUUAUACCAUCUAAGACAAAGUUAUCUGUGUAAGAAAACAAUUACCUCAUAGCCACAAGUUAUGUAUUCUCCAAAACCAGUCACCACAAGGACAUACUCUUCAAGAACAGAUUAAAAUCAUCACGCAAAGGAAAUUACAACAGAAUUAUUGAUUGUGUAUUCUUCUUUUGAAUCUCAUACCUAACUAAACAUUUCCCAUCUAUAAUUCAUGGUAAUCACAAAGCAAUAAUGCUUUUGUCAUUGUUUAACAACGUUUAAGCAAGUUUUUUUCCCUAUGCUUAGUUGACGAUUUUAUUUACCAAGAAACAGAUCAUCUACCUUACAUUUUCUUUUUGAAAUCUUGUUCAGCUAAACUGGCUAAUCAUCUAUUCUCUGUUUUUAUAGUCACAAUAAAAUUAUUUGCUCUUUAUUCAUAGCUUUGCCUUUUCAUGGUGCACCUGUGACCACAUCCCUAGAUCAUGAAAUCCAGGAACUCAAACUGUGCUGGUUUGAAUAGGUUUGCCGCCCCCUCUUCCCCGCCCCAGACUCAUGUGUUUGAAUGCUUGGCCCACUAGCAGUAUUAGGAGGUGUGGCCUUGUUGGAGUAGGUAUGGCCUUGUUAGAAGUGUGUCACUAUAGGGGUGGGCUUUGAGGUUUCCUUUGCUUAAGCUCUAUCCUUUGUGGAAGAGAUUCUCCUCCUGGCUGCCUGUAGAAGACAGACUCCUUCUGGCUGCCUUCAGAUCAAGAUAUAGAACUUUCAGCUCCUCCUCCAGCACCAUUUCUGCCUGCAUAGUGCCAUACUUCCAGCCAUGAUGAUAAUGGACUGUACCUGUGAAACUGUAAGCCAGCCCCAAAUAAAUGUUUUCCUUUAUAAGA
Long non-coding RNA from Mus musculus (house mouse), 1747 nucleotides. RefSeq annotates it as predicted gene, 53924. The record is from RefSeq and is a predicted model, not a curated record. Lineage: Eukaryota; Metazoa; Chordata; Mammalia; Rodentia; Muridae. The transcript is spliced from 2 exons.